This 253-nucleotide ribosomal RNA is filed under the name uncultured bacterium. RNAcentral describes it as "partial 16S ribosomal RNA". It matches the Rfam family "Bacterial small subunit ribosomal RNA", at positions 524 to 776 of the family's 1533-position model. The record is from RNAcentral.
UACAGAGGUCUCAAGCGUUGUUCGGAUUCAUUGGGCGUAAAGGGUGCGUAGGUGGCGCCGUAAGUCAGGUGUGAAAUUUCGGAGCUUAACUCCGAAACUGCAUUUGAUACUGCGGUGCUUGAGGACUGGAGAGGAGACUGGAAUUUACGGUGUAGCAGUGAAAUGCGUAGAGAUCGUAAGGAAGACCAGUGGCGAAGGCGGCUUGCCAGAACGCGCUCGACGGUGAGGGAUGAAAGCUGGGGGAGCAAACCGG